Molecule: ribosomal RNA, 468 nt
Filed under: uncultured bacterium
Lineage: Bacteria
Description: partial 16S ribosomal RNA
Rfam family: Bacterial small subunit ribosomal RNA
Source: RNAcentral
GACGAACGCUGGCGGCGUGCUUAACACAUGCAAGUCGAACGGAAAGGCCCUGCUUUUGUGGGGUGCUCGAGUGGCGAACGGGUGAGUAACACGUGAGUAACCUGCCCUUGACUUUGGGAUAACUUCAGGAAACUGGGGCUAAUACCGGAUAGGAGCUCCUGCUGCAUGGUGGGGGUUGGAAAGUUUCGGCGGUUGGGGGUGGACUCGCGGCUUAUCAGCUUGUUGGUGGGGUAGUGGCUUACCAAGGCUUUGACGGGUAGCCGGCCUGAGAGGGUGACCGGCCACAUAGGGACUGAGAGACGGCCCAGACUCCUACGGGAGACAGCAGUAGGGAAUAUUGCACAAUGGGCGGAAGCCUGAUGCAGCAACGCCGCGUGCGGGAUGACGGCCUUCGGGUUGUAAACCGCUUUCGCCUGUGACGAAGCGUGCGUGACGGUAAUGGGUAAAGAAGCACCGGCUAACUACGUG